GUUUGAUCCUGGCUCAGAAUCAACGCUGGCGGCGCGCCUAACACAUGCAAGUCGAACGAGAAAGUGGAGCAAUCCAUGAGUACAGUGGCGUACGGGUGAGUAACACGUGGGUAAUCUACCUUUUAGUGAGGAAUAACUUUGGGAAACCGAAGCUAAUACCGCAUAAGCCUGAGAAGGGAAAGCAGCAAUGCGCUGAAAGAGGAGCCCGCGGCCGAUUAGCUAGUUGGUGAGGUAACGGCCCACCAAGGCUUAGAUCGGUAGCCGGCCUGAGAGGGCACACGGCCACACUGGCACUGAAACACGGGCCAGACUCCUACGGGAGGCAGCAGUGGGGAAUCUUGCACAAUGGGGGAAACCCUGAUGCAGCGACGCCGCGUGAGCGAUGAAGCCCUUCGGGGUGUAAA
This 404-nucleotide ribosomal RNA is filed under the name uncultured bacterium. Its description in RNAcentral is "bacterial SSU rRNA". It matches the Rfam family "Bacterial small subunit ribosomal RNA", at positions 11 to 429 of the family's 1533-position model. The record is from RNAcentral.